AAGGAACGAGAGAAGGGCACACGGUGGAUGCCUAGGCUUCCAGAGGCGAUGAAGGACGCGGUAAGCGGCGAAACUCCCCGGGGAUCCGCAAACGGGACUAGAUCCGGGGGUGUCCGAAUGGGGCAACCCGCGCGCCGCAGUGGCGCGCACGCAGCGAUGCGGGCGAACGCAGGGAACCGAAACAUCCCAGUACCUGCAGGAGGAGAAAGAAAAAUCGAUUCCCCCAGUAGUGGCGAGCGAACGGGGAGUAGCCCAAACCGGUGCGGUCGAGGCCGCUCCGGGGUAGUAGGGCGGCGCGCAUGGCGCGCCUGGCGUCGGACGGGAAUGCGGCUGGAAAGCCGCUGACGCAGAGGGUGACAUCCCCGUACCGGAACGACGCGGGGGCGCGUUGCGCCGUGCCUGAGUACGGCAGGACACGGGUAAUCCGGUCGGAACCAGCGGGGCCCAUCCCGCAAGGCUAAAUACUCCUGGAAGACCGAUAGCGCACAGUACCGCGAGGGAACGGUGAAAAGCACCCCGGGAGGGGGAUGAAACAGAACCUGAACCCGUGUGUCCACAAGCGGUCGGAGCGGAGACGCGACGGCGUGCCUUUUGCAUAAUGAGCCUACGAGUUGCCGUCGCCGGCGAGGUUAAGCGCCUAAGGCGCGUGAGCCGGAGCGAGAGCGAGCCUGAACAGGGCGAUAGUCGGCGGCGGCAGACGCGAAACCCGGUGAUCUACCCUUGGCCAGGCUGAAGUCGGCGUGACAGUCGAUGGAGGGCCGAACCGAUGGACGUUGAAAAGUCCCCGGAUGAGCCGAGGGUAGGGGUGAAAGGCCAAUCAAACCGGGAGAUAGCUCGUACUCCCCGAAAUGCCUUUAGGGGCAGCCUCGGGAGAGACGCGCGGAGGUAGAGCGACCGAUAGGAUGCGAGGGCUUCGCCGCCUAUCAAUUCCUGACGAACUCCGAAUGCCGCGCGCUCGCUUCCCGGGAGUGAGUCGCCGGGUGCUAAUGUCCGGCGGCGAGAGGGGAACAGCCCAGAGCGCCGGCCAAGGCCCCCAAUAGCGGCCUGAGUUGAACGAACGAGGUGGGCCCGCAGUGACAGCUAGCAUGUUGGCUUGGAAGCAGCCAUUCAUUCAAAGAGUGCGUAACAGCUCACUAGUCGAGCGGGCCCGCGUGGAUGAUACACGGGCAUCAAGGCCGCAGCCGAAGCCGCGCGCCGCGAUUACGCGGCGGUAGGGGAGCAUUGCGGACGGCGUAGAAGCGGUGCCGCGAGGCUCCGUGGAGCGUCCGGAAAAGAAGAUGUAGGCAUGAGUAACGACAAUGCGGGCGGGAAACCCGCACACCGAAAACCCAAGGUUUCCUGAUCAACGCUAAUCGGAUCAGGGUAAGUCGGGUCCUAAGGGGCACCCGAGAGGGGCACCCGAUGGCCGAAUGGUCAAGAUUCCAUUACCUCCCCUUCCUGGCCCGAGCGGGGACGGAGAAGUGACACUGCCGCCGUGCGACGGAAUGCACGGUUUAAGGGGCGUAGGGGCCGAUGGCCCCGACCCCCGAAAGUACCGCGAGCCUUCGGGCGGGCGGAGAGCGCAGGUAAGCAUGCUCCCGAGAAAAUCCGCUCCGGGUGCGAUCAGGGAGGGGGGCCCGUACCGUAAACCGACACAGGUGGGUGGGGAGAGUAUCCCAAGGUGCUCGAGUGAGUCACGGCCAAGGAACUAGGCAAAAUGACCCCGUAACUUCGGGAGAAGGGGUCCUCGCGAGGGCGAGGCGCAGAGAAGUGGUCCAGGCGACUGUUUACCAAAAACACAUGGCUUUGCAAAAUCGAAAGAUGACGAAUAAGGCCUGACACCUGCCCGGUGCCGGAAGGUUAAGGGGGGGCGUGAGCGGAGACGCGGGGCGCCGAACCGAAGCCCCGGUAAACGGCGGCCGUAACUAUAACGGUCCUAAGG
Molecule: ribosomal RNA, 1921 nt
Filed under: Candidatus Merdivivens pullicola
Lineage: Bacteria; Pseudomonadati; Bacteroidota; Bacteroidia; Bacteroidales; Muribaculaceae
Description: partial 23S ribosomal RNA
Rfam family: Bacterial large subunit ribosomal RNA
Source: RNAcentral